This 336-nucleotide unclassified non-coding RNA is filed under the name uncultured Acidobacteriota bacterium. RNAcentral describes it as "uncultured Acidobacteria bacterium contains 16S-23S intergenic spacer region". Lineage: Bacteria; Pseudomonadati; Acidobacteriota. The record is from RNAcentral.
UCCGGUUUGUCACCGGCAGUAUCCCAUGAGUCCCCGACAUAACUCGCUGGCAACAUAGGACAGGGGUUGCGCUCGUUGCGGGACUUAACCCAACAUCACACGACACGAGCUGACGUCAUCCCCACCGCUGGUCAGUGGCAGUUCAAGCCCAGGUAAGGUUCUUCGCGUUGCGUCGAAUUGAACCACAUGUUCCACCGCUUGUGCGGGCCCCCGUCAAUUCCUUUGAGUUUCAGUCUUGCGACCGUACUCCCCAGGCGCAGGACUUAACGCGUUAGCUACGGGACGCACCCCCAACGGGAUGCACCCCAAGUCCUGAUCGUUUAGGGCUAGGACUAC